GACGAACGCUGGCGGCGUGCUUAACACAUGCAAGUCGAACGGAAAGGCCCUGCUUUUGUGGGUUGCUCGAGUGGCGAACGGGUGAGUAACACGUGAGUAACCUGCCCUUGACUUUGGGAUAACUUCAGGAAACUGGGGCUAAUACCGGAUAGGAGCUCCUGCUGCAUGGUGGGGGUUGGAAAGUUUCGGCGGUUGGGGAUGGACUCGCGGCUUAUCAGCUUGUUUGUGGGGUAGUGGCUUACCAAGGCUUUGACGGGUAGCCGGCCUGAGAGCGUGAACGGCCACAAUGGGACUGAGAUACGGCCCAGACUCCUACGGGCGGCAGCAGUCGGGAAUAUUGCACAAUGGGGGGAAGCGUGAUGCAGCAACGCCGCGUGCGGGAUGACGGGUUUUGGGUUGUAAACCGCUUUCGAAUGUGACGAAGCGUGAGUGACGGUAAUGGGUAAAGAAGCACCGGCUAACUACGUG
RNAcentral lists this ribosomal RNA (468 nucleotides) under uncultured bacterium. RNAcentral's name for it is "partial 16S ribosomal RNA". It matches the Rfam family "Bacterial small subunit ribosomal RNA", at positions 28 to 507 of the family's 1533-position model. The record is from RNAcentral.